GCCGAAGUGGCGGAACAGGCAGACGCGCUGCGUUCAGGGCGCAGUGGGCUUCACGCCCAUGUGGGUUCAACUCCCACCUUCGGCACCU
RNAcentral lists this transfer RNA (88 nucleotides) under Anaerolineae bacterium. Its description in RNAcentral is "tRNA-Leu". It matches the Rfam family "tRNA". Rfam says of the family: Transfer RNA (tRNA) molecules are approximately 80 nucleotides in length. Their secondary structure includes four short double-helical elements and three loops (D, anti-codon, and T loops). Lineage: Bacteria; Bacillati; Chloroflexota; Anaerolineae. The record is from RNAcentral.